GACGAACGCUGGCGGCGUGCCUAACACAUGCAAGUCGAGCGGAAUCUCCGGAGUGCUUGCACUCCGGAAGGUUAGCGGCGGACGGGUGAGUAACACGUAGGCAACCUGCCCAUAAGACCGGGAUAACAAUCGGAAAAGAAUGCUAAAACCGGAUAGACGGACUUCUCGCAUGAGGGGCUCGGGAAAGGCGGAGCAAUCUGCCGCUUAUGGAUGGGCCUGCGGCGCAUUAGCUAGUUGGUGGGGUAACGGCAUAACAAGGCGACGAUGGUUAGGCGACCUGAGAGGGACAACGGCCAGCUUGUGACUGAGACGCAGCACAGACUCCUACAGGAGGCAGCAGUCGGGAAUCUUCCGCGAUGGAGGCAUGUCUGACAUAGCAACGCCGCGGGAAGGAUGAAGGCGUUCGGGUGGUAAAGCGCUGUUGCCAGGGAAGAACGGGCGGGCAUGUAACUGCGCUGGCCAUGACGGUACCUGGAGAAUAAGCCCCGGCUAACUACGUG
Molecule: ribosomal RNA, 500 nt
Filed under: uncultured bacterium
Lineage: Bacteria
Description: partial 16S ribosomal RNA
Rfam family: Bacterial small subunit ribosomal RNA
Source: RNAcentral